This 745-nucleotide ribosomal RNA is filed under the name uncultured bacterium. Its description in RNAcentral is "bacterial SSU rRNA". It matches the Rfam family "Bacterial small subunit ribosomal RNA", at positions 33 to 773 of the family's 1533-position model. The record is from RNAcentral.
ACGCUGGCGGCAGGCCUAACACAUGCAAGUCGAGCGGUAGAGAGAAGCUUGCUUCUCUUGAGAGCGGCGGACGGGUGAGUAAUGCCUAGGAAUCUGCCUGGUAGUGGGGGAUAACGUCCGGAAACGGACGCUAAUACCGCAUACGUCCUACGGGAGAAAGCAGGGGACCUUCGGGCCUUGCGCUAUCAGAUGAGCCUAGGUCGGAUUAGCUAGUUGGUGGGGUAAUGGCUCACCAAGGCGACGAUCCGUAACUGGUCUGAGAGGAUGAUCAGUCACACUGGAACUGAGACACGGUCCAGACUCCUACGGGAGGCAGCAGUGGGGAAUAUUGGACAAUGGGCGAAAGCCUGAUCCAGCCAUGCCGCGUGUGUGAAGAAGGUCUUCGGAUUGUAAAGCACUUUAAGUUGGGAGGAAGGGCAGUUACUUAAUACGUGAUUGUUUUGACGUUACCGACAGAAUAAGCACCGGCUAACUCUGUGCCAGCAGCCGCGGUAAUACAGAGGGUGCAAGCGUUAAUCGGAAUUACUGGGCGUAAAGCGCGCGUAGGUGGUUCGUUAAGUUGGAUGUGAAAUCCCCGGGCUCAACCUGGGAACUGCAUUCAAAACUGACGAGCUAGAGUAUGGUAGAGGGUGGUGGAAUUUCCUGUGUAGCGGUGAAAUGCGUAGAUAUAGGAAGGAACACCAGUGGCGAAGGCGACCACCUGGACUGAUACUGACACUGAGGUGCGAAAGCGUGGGGAGCAAAC